RNAcentral lists this ribosomal RNA (484 nucleotides) under Gyrodactylus stephanus. Its description in RNAcentral is "bacterial SSU rRNA". It matches the Rfam family "Eukaryotic small subunit ribosomal RNA", at positions 1178 to 1636 of the family's 1831-position model. Lineage: Eukaryota; Metazoa; Platyhelminthes; Monogenea; Gyrodactylidea; Gyrodactylidae. The record is from RNAcentral.
GGAGCUUGCGGCUUAAUUUGACUCAACACGGGAAAACUCACCCGGACCGGACACUAUGAGGAUAGACAGAUUGAUAGCUCUUUCUUGAUUUGGUGAUUAGUGGUGCAUGGCCGUUCUUAGUUCGUGGUAUGAAUUGUCUGGUUAAUUCCGAUAACGAACGAGAUUCUAACCUGCUAAAUAGUCCAUUUGUAAUCCUGUGUAGUUUGUACGCGGUUAACGCAAGUUUUCCACGCACUGCUAUACGAGCAUAUGGUACUUCUUAGAGGGAUUGGUGGAUCAAAACCACACGAGAGAGAGCAAUAACAGGUCUGUGAUGCCCUUAGAUGUUCGGGGCCGCACGCGUGCUACACUGACGGUGGUAGAGAGUUUGGUAUCCUCAGGCGAAAGCUGGGGGCAAACUUUUCAAUUACCGUCGUGCCUGGGAUCGGGGUUUGUAACUAUCCCCCGUGAACCAGGAAUUCCUAGUAAGCACAAUUCAUCAGAU